UAGUGGCAGCUCAACCCAGACCCCCAGGCCAGGAACCUCUCAGCCAAUGGUCCCCACUCCAGGGGCCAGCACCUCUUCUCAGCCAGCCACACCUAGUGGCUCAACACAGACCCCCAAGCCAGGAACCUCUCAGCCGACAACCACUGGGCCCAUAUCAGGUAGUCUAACACGUUGCUCUGGAGUCACUGUCACCCUUAACUCAGACAGGGGUUCUAGGAUGUGCUCUAGAAAAGGGUCCACCCGGGCUAGUCUGGCCUGACCACACUGACUAUGGAGUCUGUGUCUAGCUCUAGACAGAGGGCACCAAGAGGUCAUAAUAGGUGAACUGAAGAAGGUACAGGGAUACAGAAGCAGAUUUUAAAGCCAGUGAGUCCCAUAAUUCCCAGGACAAUCUGUAUUUAGGGUCUUAGGUUAGGUAAGGGCACUAUUCCAAUAAGUAGGGAGAAACAA
Molecule: long non-coding RNA, 450 nt
Filed under: Rattus norvegicus (Norway rat)
Lineage: Eukaryota; Metazoa; Chordata; Mammalia; Rodentia; Muridae
Description: long non-coding RNA NONRATT003347
Source: RNAcentral